This 73-nucleotide transfer RNA is filed under the name Pteridomonas sp. YPF1301. RNAcentral describes it as "tRNA-Glu". It matches the Rfam family "tRNA". From Rfam's summary of the family: Transfer RNA (tRNA) molecules are approximately 80 nucleotides in length. Their secondary structure includes four short double-helical elements and three loops (D, anti-codon, and T loops). Lineage: Eukaryota; Dictyochophyceae; Pedinellales. The record is from RNAcentral.
ACCCCCAUCGUCUAGAGGCUCAGGACAUUUCCUUUUCGAGGAAAGAACAGGGAUUCAAAUUCCCUUAGGGGUA